GAUGAACGCUGGCGGCGUGCCUAAUACAUGCAAGUCGAGCGAACAGAUAAGGAGCUUGCUCCUUUGACGUUAGCGGCGGACGGGUGAGUAACACGUGGGUAACCUACCUAUAAGACUGGAAUAACUCCGGGAAACCGGGGCUAAUGCCGGAUAACAUUUAGAACCGCAUGGUUCUAAAGUGAAAGAUGGUUUUGCUAUCACUUAUAGAUGGACCCGCGCCAUAUUAGCUAGUUGGUAAGGUAACGGCUUACCAAGGCAACGAUACGUAGCCGACCUGAGAGGGUGAUCGGCCACACUGGAACUGAGACACGGUCCAGACUCCUACGGGAGGCAGCAGUAGGGAAUCUUCCGCAAUGGGCGAAAGCCUGACGGAGCAACGCCGCGUGAGUGAUGAAGGUCUUCGGAUCGUAAAACUCUGUUAUUAGGGAAGAACAAAUGUGUAAGUAACUGUGCACGUCUUGACGGUACCUAAUCAGAAAGCCACGGCUAACUACGUG
RNAcentral lists this ribosomal RNA (497 nucleotides) under uncultured bacterium. RNAcentral describes it as "partial 16S ribosomal RNA". It matches the Rfam family "Bacterial small subunit ribosomal RNA", at positions 28 to 507 of the family's 1533-position model. The record is from RNAcentral.